AACGAACGCUGGCGGCAUGCCUAACACAUGCAAGUCGAACGAGACCUUCGGGUCUAGUGGCGCACGGGUGCGUAACGCGUGGGAACCUGCCCUUAGGUUCGGAAUAACUCCCCGAAAGGGGUGCUAAUACCGGAUAAUGUCUUCGGACCAAAGAUUUAUCACCUUUGGAUGGGCCCGCGUUGGAUUAGCUAGUUGGUAGGGUAAAAGCCUACCAGGGCGACGAUCCAUAGCUGGUCUGAGAGGAUGAUCAGCCACACUGGGACUGAGACACGGCCCAGACUCCUACGGGAGGCAGCAGUGGGGAAUAUUGGACAAUGGGCGAAAGCCUGAUCCAGCAAUGCCGCGUGAGUGAUGAAGGCCUUAGGGUUGUAAAGCUCUUUUACCCGGGAUGAUAAUGACAGUACCGGGAGAAUAAGCUCCGGCUAACUCCGUG
Molecule: ribosomal RNA, 433 nt
Filed under: uncultured bacterium
Lineage: Bacteria
Description: partial 16S ribosomal RNA
Rfam family: Bacterial small subunit ribosomal RNA
Source: RNAcentral